GAUUAGCUGUUACACAAAGUGGGGUUUCUUUUGACAGCCAAGAGGCUAUGGCUGAAAUGGAAUGAGAGGCAGCUCGAUUCACAAAGAACAGAUAAUAAAAACAAUUCCUUGGAAUUGAUUCUAAGAUCUUUUGAAGUAUGAUCAAAUUUGUGUCCUUUAAAUUUGCGGCGGCAGUAAGCAUGGUUUCAGCAUCUACCCUGAAGAUGACACAGGAUAUAAUUAUAAAUUGCCUCUCCCUGCUAUUGAAGCCCCAGUAGCAAUACCAAGGGGCUUCUAAAUAACAGAUCAGCUUCCGAGCAAAGCCACAGACAGGCAUGGAAGGGCGACUACUGUUCUGUGACUCAUUCCGAGAUUCCAUCUGUCCGCCCUGCCUUUGGCAAUUUGUUAUUCCCAUUAAGGAGCGCAGUCUUCCUUUCCCAAUGGAGUUAACUGCAAGUCUGAGGUCAGAAGUGUGUUCUUAUAAUAAGUGGUCUAAAAACUGUAACAGGCAGAAUUCAACAGGCUGUAUUCAGCCCUUCCUCCCAAAGGAGACUUUGGCGGUAGUGUAUUGAUGCUUAUCAUUUAUGUUGAUUUCAAUGUUUAUUGUAUACGUGAUUUUGGUUUUAUUGCCUUUUAUUGUUGUGUUUUAACAGUCUUGUACUCAAGGGAUCUUGCAAUGAAUGGCGGGUUGGAAAAACCAUAAACACACAUAAAGCAUCAUGCUGCUGAGGUUCUCUUCACAUCUGGAAGAUUCAGCACUUCCCCAGGUUUGGAACGGUUUCCCUCCUUGUCUGUGUGGAUAAGCCAUUAAAGAGACAGAUGAUUCCUGCUGGGCAGAAGAAAACCCUGCGGUCACGAGAAACGGUUCUCUGGUUACGUCUAGGCAGGUGGAUAGACUGUCUAGCCAAAUGUAAACACAGCCCAUGUUUUCAUUUUCUGCUAACACCUGAGAAUGAGUACUCCCACACAACUGAAAACCCCUAGGAGGUCCAGAAGAGCCGGAAUCCAAGGCAGCUACUGCCAAAGAAAGUCAAAAGACAGGAUAACCGAGGGG
Molecule: long non-coding RNA, 1033 nt
Organism: Podarcis raffonei (Aeolian wall lizard)
Lineage: Eukaryota; Metazoa; Chordata; Lepidosauria; Squamata; Lacertidae
Exons: 2
Source: RefSeq, a predicted model, not a curated record